Molecule: ribosomal RNA, 501 nt
Filed under: uncultured bacterium
Lineage: Bacteria
Description: partial 16S ribosomal RNA
Rfam family: Bacterial small subunit ribosomal RNA
Source: RNAcentral
AUUGAACGCUGGCGGCAUGCCUUACACAUGCAAGUCGAACGGCAGCACGGGUGCUUGCACCUGGUGGCGAGUGGCGAACGGGUGAGUAAUACAUCGGAACGUACCUUAUCGUGGGGGACAACGCAGCGAAAGCUGUGCUAAUACCGCAUACGCCCUGAGGGGGAAAGCGGGGGAUCGCAAGACCUCGCGCGAUUAGAGCGGCCGAUGCCUGAUUAGCUUGUUGGUGGGGUAAAAGCCCACCAAGGCGACGAUCAGUAGCUGGUCUGAGAGGACGAUCAGCCACACUGGGACUGAGACACGGCCCAGACUCCUACGGGAGGCAGCAGUGGGGAAUUUUGGACAAUGGGGGCAACCCCGAUCCAGCAAUGCCGCGUGAGUGAAGAAGGCCUUCGGGUUGUAAAGCUCUUUUGUCAGGGAAGAAACACCGGCUCUAACACAGUCUGGGAAUGACGGUACCUGAAGAAUAAGCACCGGCUAACUACGUGCCAGCAGCCGCGGUAA